CAUCGCUCCCUCUGCCCAGCAGAACAUCUCCGCGGAGCUCUGUCGGCCUAAAUCCUACUUCUUUCUCAAACCUCACUCAGAUGAUCCCCCAGCCAGAACAGUGCCUCAACCAGCCCGGCCAGUCGGAGUAUCUGUGCGUCUGCUGUUGACCAUUCAGGAAGAUGAAGGUUUAAUGUGAUUUCAGCCACAUGGGGCAGAGGCUCGAGAGUCCAGCCUCGAGGCUGCUGGCAGUCAGGGCCAGCCCCAAGGCAAGUCCUGCCAAACCAAGAACUGAACACCUACUCUACCCUGAAGUGAGUCGAGAGAUUGCUCCCCUGGAAGGUGAUGCAGGAAGAGACUUGACACCGUGUGGCUGGGAAGACCCGGGGCCUCGGGAUGUUGUCUCAAUUGGUGGUGAACUGCUUUGUGAUGCCCUGGACCUCUCACUUCUCCUGGAUCUGCCCUCUGCUGUUGCACUGUGUUGUGUGCUGGGGCUGCCAGGUUCCUAUGGACCAUGGCCAGUGGUGACUGGUCCCGGAGAAGGUACCUGAUCAGGACUGGGUCAAUCUCAUCCUUCGCCGGGACUUUGGACCUUGGGCCCAGAGAAAGAGCAAGUCCAUCUUCCUACUGGUGAGAACUGGGAGUACAUGAGCCCAUCUUUCACCACCCUCCUCACCAGCUCCGCCCCAGCCACACCCAUCUCCUUCUCUAUCUUGAAAGCCAAGUGCGUGCUGUUUCCCCCACUGGCCCGCUCUCUCUCCAGAUAGUUGCAUGCUUGCUCUCUCAUGUGCUUCAGGUCUCUGCUCAAAUGUCAUCUUCUCGUCCGGCCUUCCCUGAGCGCUCUAUGUGGCAUUGCAUUCCCCACUCCAAUACCUAGGCUGUCCCCACCCCCAUCAGCUGCUGACAUACUGCAUCCUUGCUCAGUGUCUAUAUUCCCACCGAGAGGACGGGCCUUUGUCCACUGCUAUCUCCUCAGUCUCUAGAACAAUGGCCCUGGCACUGUGA
Non-coding RNA from Leptonychotes weddellii (Weddell seal), 984 nucleotides. Lineage: Eukaryota; Metazoa; Chordata; Mammalia; Carnivora; Phocidae. The record is from RefSeq and is a predicted model, not a curated record.